CCUACGGGAGGCAGCAGUGGGGAAUAUUGGGCAAUGGGCGCAAGCCUGACCCAGCAACGCCGCGUGAAGGAAGAAGGCUUUCGGGUUGUAAACUUCUUUUAAGAGGGAAGAGCAGAAGACGGUACCUCUUGAAUAAGCCACGGCUAACUACGUGCCAGCAGCCGCGGUAAUACGUAGGUGGCAAGCGUUGUCCGGAUUUACUGGGUGUAAAGGGCGUGCAGCCGGGAAGACAAGUCAGAUGUGAAAGCCCGCGGCUCAACCGCGGAACUGCAUUUGAAACUGUGUUUCUUGAGUACCGGAGGGGGCAUCGGAAUUCCUUGUGUAGCGGUGAAAUGCGUAGAUAUAAGGAAGAACACCAGUGGCGAAGGCGGAUGACUGGACGGCAACUGACGGUGAGGCGCGAAGGCGUGGGGAGCAAACAGGAUUAGAUACCCCUGUAGUC
RNAcentral lists this ribosomal RNA (442 nucleotides) under uncultured bacterium. Its description in RNAcentral is "partial 16S ribosomal RNA". It matches the Rfam family "Bacterial small subunit ribosomal RNA", at positions 338 to 795 of the family's 1533-position model. The record is from RNAcentral.